UACGGAAGGCAGCAGUGGGGAAUAUUGCACAAUGGGCGCAAGCCUGAUGCAGCCAUGCCGCGUGUAUGAAGAAGGCCUUCGGGUUGUAAAGUACUUUCAGUCGUGAGGAAGGUGUUAAGGUUAAUAACCUUAGCAAUUGACGUUAGCGACAGAAGAAGCACCGGCUAACUCCGUGCCAGCAGCCGCGGUAAUACGGAGAGUGCGAGCGUUAAUCGGAAUUACUGGGCGUAAAAGGGCACGCAGGCGGUUAAUUAAGUUGGAUGUGAAAAUCCCCGGGCUUAACCUGGGAAUGGCAUUCAAGACUGGUUAGCUAGAGUCUUGUAGAGGGGGUAGAAUUCCAUGUGUAGCGGUGAAAUGCGUAGAGAUGUGGAGGAAAUACCGGUGGCGAAGGCGGCCCCCUGGGACAAAGACUGACGCUCAUGUGCGAAAGCUGGGGAGCAAACAGGAUUAGGAUACC
RNAcentral lists this ribosomal RNA (457 nucleotides) under uncultured bacterium. Its description in RNAcentral is "bacterial SSU rRNA". It matches the Rfam family "Bacterial small subunit ribosomal RNA", at positions 340 to 786 of the family's 1533-position model. The record is from RNAcentral.